UACGGGGGGAGCAAGCGUUGUUCGGAUUUACUGGGCGUAAAGGGCGCGUAGGCGGUAGCACAAGUCGAUUGUGAAAUCUCCGGGCUUAACUCGGAAAGGUCAACCGAUACUGCGGGGCUAGAGUGCAGAAGGGGCAACUGGAAUUCUCGGUGUAGCGGUGAAAUGCGUAGAUAUCGAGAGGAACACCUGCGGCGAAGGCGGGUUGCUGGGCUGACACUGACGCUGAUGUGCGAAAGCUAGGGGAGCGAACGGG
RNAcentral lists this ribosomal RNA (253 nucleotides) under uncultured bacterium. RNAcentral's name for it is "partial 16S ribosomal RNA". It matches the Rfam family "Bacterial small subunit ribosomal RNA", at positions 524 to 776 of the family's 1533-position model. The record is from RNAcentral.